Long non-coding RNA from Rana temporaria (common frog), 1848 nucleotides. RefSeq lists it as uncharacterized. NCBI's taxonomy places the organism in Eukaryota, Metazoa, Chordata, Amphibia, Anura, Ranidae. The transcript is spliced from 2 exons. The record is from RefSeq and is a predicted model, not a curated record.
CAUAAUUGUAAUAUACUUAUUAAGUUAAAAUCCCCCUUUAGCGUUUUGACUUUUACAUGAGAAAAAGAAAAAGUAGCAGGCAUCUGGAACAUGUUGUAAAAUGGUGUGGAAGGCCAACGGAUUUCGUACUGUAAAGUGUUACUUGUUCUAUGGCCAGCCAUCUAUAAAUGUUCUGAUAUGUCAAAAUGGGGUCUUACCAUUUUUCAAAGAAAAAGGUAAGAUCAGGUGGAGGUAUUAUUUUGUUGCGUUUUCACACUCACUUUUCUAGUUUUCAACCUUCCAAUUAGACCAAAAAGAUACCUAUGAAGACUAAGACAUGUAAAAUGCCAUUGGUGACCUCCUUCUAAAAAUGUUUUUCAUACUUCUUUCGUGCCAAUGGCAAAGGCAGUAAUUAAUAGCAAGAUCAGUCCACAUAUACCAGCCUACCAUCAACAUAAAUUAAUUUUCUCUCUAUACAUGCUGUUGUAAGAGUCUCCUUAUGUUGACUUCCCCCUCACAGGAUGAGGUUUAAAAGAACUACAGAAAGCUGUAUCUAAAUUGUGGAGAGAAGUUCAGUGCUGAGGCUACUGGCAGAGUGCAUUGGACACUCCUCACAAUGUCCUCGGGGAAGGUCUGAGAUUAAAGCUAAUGGCUGCUUUCACAAAGCAUUGCUUGACCCAAGCAAGUGGGUUCCCAUCAACAUUGGUAAGCUUGAUCCUUCAAAGCAGAAGAUGUAGUUCUCUCUCAGAAUGUGGAAUUGCUACAGAUGUGAUGUCAUCAAGCUUGGAAGAAACUCACAGCUGGCUGUUGUAAGUCCAAUAACUGAAAGGAAGCUCCCAGGUGUUUCCUAACUCAAUUCAGACUACUCUCUCUCCACUUUUGCACAACCAUCUGUCUACAGCUCCCUUUUGGCAGAAAAAUGCAAUGUUGACGUUUCAGAAUCAUCAAUUUUAUUUACAUUAAUGAGCAUCUACAUGAAAUAAAAACAUCUCUUGUAUUUUCAAAAAUAAAUAUCACGAAACCGAUGCCGAAACAUGUUGAAUGAAUGUUGAAGAGGCAAACUAAUAUGCAAAAAGUGUUCACGAAACAAUCACUAUUUUCAUAAUUGUAAUAUACUUAUUAAGUUAAAAUCCCCUUUUAGCGUUUUGACUUUUACAUGAGAAAAAGAAAAAGUAGCAGGCAUCUGGAACAUGUUGUAAAAUGGUGUGGAAGGCCAACGGAUUUCGUACUGUAAAGUGUUACUUGUUCUAUGGCCAGCCAUCUAUAAAUGUUCUGAUAUGUCAAAAUGGGGUCUUACCAUUUUUCAAAGAAAAAGGUAAGAUCAGGUGGAGGUAUUAUUUUGUUGCGUUUUCAAACUCACUUUUCUAGUUUUCAACCUUCCAAUUAGACCAAAAAGAUACCUAUGAAGACUAAGACAUGUAAAAAUGCCAUUGGUGACCUCCUUCUAAAAAUGUUUUUCAUACUUCUUUCGUGCCAAUGGCAAAGGCAGUAAUUAAUAGCAAGAUCAGUCCACAUAUACCAGCCUACCAUCAACAUAAAUUAAUUUUCUCUCUUUACAUGCUGUUGUAAGAGUCUCCUUAUGUUGACUUCCCCCUCCCAGGAUGAGGUUUAAAAGAACUACAGAAAGCUGUAUCUAAAUUGUGGAGAGAAGUUCAGUGCUGAGGCUACUGGCAGAGUGCAUUGGACACUCCUCACAAUGUCCUCGGGGAAGGUCUGAGAUUAAAGCUAAUGGCUGCUUUCACAAAGCAUUGCUUGACCCAAGCGAGUGGGUUCCCAUCAACAUUGGUAAGCUUGAUCCUUCAAAGCAGAAGAUGUAGUUCUCUCUCAGAAUGUGGAAUUGCUACAGAUGUGAUGUCAUCAAGCUUGGAA